AGUGAACGCUGGCGGUAGGCCUAACACAUGCAAGUCGAACGACAGCACAGUAAGAGCUUGCUCUUACGGGUGGCGAGUGGCGGACGGGUGAGGAAUACAUCGGAAUCUACUUUUUCGUGGGGGAUAACGUAGGGAAACUUACGCUAAUACCGCAUACGACCUACGGGUGAAAUCAGGGGAUCAUCGGACCUUGCGCGAUUGAAUGAGCCGAUGUCGGAUUAGCUAGUUGGCGGGGUAAAGGCCCACCAAGGCGACGAUCCGUAGCUGGUCUGAGAGGAUGAUCGGCCACACUGGAACUGAGACACGGUCCAGACUCCUACGGGAGGCAGCAGUGGGGAAUAUUGGACAAUGGGCGCAAGCCUGAUCCAGCCAUGCCGCGUGGGUGAAGAAGGCCUUCGGGUUGUAAAGCCCUUUUGUUGGGAAAGAAAAGCAGCAGGUUAAUACCCCGCUGUUCUGACGGUACCCAAAGAAUAAGCACCGGCUAACUUCGUG
This 492-nucleotide ribosomal RNA is filed under the name uncultured bacterium. RNAcentral describes it as "partial 16S ribosomal RNA". It matches the Rfam family "Bacterial small subunit ribosomal RNA", at positions 29 to 507 of the family's 1533-position model. The record is from RNAcentral.